UACGUAGGGCGCAAGCGUUGUCCGGAAUUAUUGGGCGUAAAGAGCUCGUAGGCGGCUUGUCACGUCGGGUGUGAAAGCCCGGGGCUUAACCCCGGGUCUGCAUUCGAUACGGGCAGGCUAGAGUGUGGUAGGGGAGAUCGGAAUUCCUGGUGUAGCGGUGGAAUGCGCAGAUAUCAGGAGGAACACCGGUGGCGAAGGCGGAUCUCUGGGCCAUUACUGACGCUGAGGAGCGAAAGCGUGGGGAGCGAACAGG
This 253-nucleotide ribosomal RNA is filed under the name uncultured bacterium. RNAcentral's name for it is "partial 16S ribosomal RNA". It matches the Rfam family "Bacterial small subunit ribosomal RNA", at positions 524 to 776 of the family's 1533-position model. The record is from RNAcentral.